This 492-nucleotide ribosomal RNA is filed under the name uncultured bacterium. RNAcentral describes it as "partial 16S ribosomal RNA". It matches the Rfam family "Bacterial small subunit ribosomal RNA", at positions 29 to 507 of the family's 1533-position model. The record is from RNAcentral.
AGUGAACGCUGGCGGUAGGCCUAACACAUGCAAGUCGAACGGCAGCACAGUAAGAGCUUGCUCUUACGGGUGGCGAGUGGCGGACGGGUGAGGAAGACAUCGGAAUCUACUUUUUCGUGGGGGAUAACGUAGGGAAACUUACGCUAAUACCGCAUACGACCUACGGGUGAAAGCAGGGGAUCUUCGGACCUUGCGCGAUUGAAUGAGCCGAUGUCGGAUUAGCUAGUUGGCGGGGUAAAGGCCCACCAAGGCGACGAUCCGUAGCUGGUCUGAGAGGAUGAUAGGCCACACUGGGGCUGAGACACGGUCCAGACUCCUACGGGAGGCAGCAGUGGGGAAUAUUGGACAAUGGGCGCAAGCCUGAUCCAGCCAUACCGCGUGGGUGAAGGAGGCCUUCGGGUUGUAAAGCCCUUUUGUUGGGAAAGAAAAGCAGCAGGUUAAUACCCCGCUGUUCUGACGGUACCCAAAGAAUAAGCACCGGCUAACUUCGUG